AAAACAUAGCCUAUAACUUAACUUUAGGUACAACCCUGCCCUCUGAAAUUUUAACAGCCGCGGUAUCCUAACCGUGCUAAGGUAGCAUAAUCAUUUGCCUAUUAAUUAUAGGCUAGCAUGAACGGGAUCACUCACUUAAAUUUAUUUUCACUACAAUUAAAAUUAAACUUUAAGUUAAAAUACUAAAUUUUUAAGAAAGACAAAAAGACCCUGAAAACUAUUAGAAGAUAAUUAGUUGGGGCAACUAUAGACCAUAAACAGCGUCUAUUAAAAUUCGAAUUUUAAAAUUCAAAGCACACAGUUACUUCAGGGAUAACAGACUAAUUGUAUUAUUUAGACCUAAUAAAUAAUAAAGAUUGGCACCUCGAUGUUGGCUUAUAAUUCCUUCAUAUAGUAACAUAUAUUGAUGGCAGCUUGUUCAUCUGAUAAAUAUUUACGUGAUCU
This 444-nucleotide ribosomal RNA is filed under the name Stygocapitella sp. 321_03. RNAcentral describes it as "partial large subunit ribosomal RNA". It matches the Rfam family "Bacterial large subunit ribosomal RNA", at positions 1810 to 2606 of the family's 2925-position model. The record is from RNAcentral. Lineage: Eukaryota; Metazoa; Annelida; Polychaeta; Parergodrilidae.